This 1240-nucleotide ribosomal RNA is filed under the name uncultured bacterium. RNAcentral describes it as "bacterial SSU rRNA". It matches the Rfam family "Bacterial small subunit ribosomal RNA", at positions 79 to 1328 of the family's 1533-position model. The record is from RNAcentral.
CUUGCUCCUGGCGGCGAGUGGCGGACGGGUGAGUAACACGUAGGAAUCUGCCUAGUAGUGGGGGAUAACUCGGGGAAACUCGAGCUAAUACCGCAUACGCUCUACGGAGGAAAGCGGGGGAUCUUCGGACCUCGCGCUAUUAGAUGAGCCUGCGUCCGAUUAGCUAGUUGGUGGGGUAAAGGCCCACCAAGGCGACGAUCGGUAGCUGGUCUGAGAGGACGAUCAGCCACACUGGAACUGAGACACGGUCCAGACUCCUACGGGAGGCAGCAGUGGGGAAUAUUGGACAAUGGGCGCAAGCCUGAUCCAGCAAUGCCGCGUGUGUGAAGAAGGCCUGCGGGUUGUAAAGCACUUUAAGCAGGGAAAGAAGGUGUUAGGGUUAAUAUCCCUGGUCAUUGACGUUACCUGCAGAAUAAGCACCGGCUAACUCCGUGCCAGCAGCCGCGGUAAUACGGAGGGUGCGAGCGUUAAUCGGAAUUACUGGGCGUAAAGCGCGCGUAGGCGGUUGACUAAGUCUGCUGUGAAAGCCCCGGGCUUAACCUGGGAACUGCAGUGGAUACUGGUCGGCUAGAGUAUGGUAGAGGGUAGUGGAAUUUCCGGUGUAGCAGUGAAAUGCGUAGAGAUCGGAAGGAACACCAGUGGCGAAGGCGGCUAUCUGGACCAAUACUGACGCUGAAGUGCGAAAGCGUGGGAGCAAACAGGAUUAGAUACCCUGGUAGUCCACGCCCUAAACGAUGAGAACUAGCCGUUGGGUCCCGAAUUUCUGGAUUUAGUGGCGCAGCUAACGCGUUAAGUUCUCCGCCUGGGGAGUACGCCGCAAGGCUAAUACUCAAAUGAAUUGACGGGGGCCCGCACAACGUGGAGCAUGUGGUUUAAUUCGAUGCACCCGAAGAACCUUACCUGGUCUUGACAUCCCAGCGAACCCAUCUCAGAGAUAGAUUGGUCCCUUCGGGAACGCUGAGACAGGUGCUGCAUGGCUUUCGUCAGCUCUUGUCGUGAGAUGUUGGGUUAAGUCCCGUAACGAGCCCAACCCGCCCCUAUGCCAUCAGUUCAAGGGACACUAGGAAGACCCCCAGGAUAAACCGGAGAGAAGAGGGGAUGACGUCAAGUCCUCAAGCCCUUACAGCCAGGGCAAAACACGACCAAGGCAGAACCAAGGAGACCCAAGCCGCGAGCGGGACCAAUAACACAAAACCGACCUCAGUCCGGAUGCACUCUACAACUCGAGUCCAUGAAGUCU